UAUGCCCUAGGGCUAGUGGAAGACUUAAGAUGGCGGCGUUUGCACGGAGUGCAAUCACUGCGUCCUUACGGGGGUUGCAAGGCGUCCGAAGUAUGAGUCCACUAACAAAAGUCCAGAAACUCGCCAGUUAAUAGUAUUGUGUCUCUUCAAAAUAUCGGAGAAUAAUUUCUUUCUCGCUGAUCGCCUAACUUCUACUGACGAAGCUUGGAAGUUGCAGAAGGUUGGAGUGCAAUGGCGCGAUCUCGGCUGACUGCAACCUCCACCUCCUGGAUUCAAGCUAUUCUCCUGCCUCAGCCUGCCGAGUAGCUGGGAUUACAGGCAUGUGCCACCGCACCCAGCUAAUUUUGUAUUUUUUAGUAGAGAUGGGGUUUCUCCAUGUUGGUCAGGCUGGUCUUGAACUCCUGACCUCAGGUGAUCCGCCCACCUCAGCCUCCCAAAGUGCUGGGAUUACAGGCGUGAGCCACCGCGCCCGGCCAGAACAUUAGUUUUAAACUUCCUAACCCUUGGGAGAAGGCAAAACACUUGAUGAAAUCUACAUAAAGACUAAAACAUUUUACCAAUUUUGCAUUGUUUGUUUGAAAUUGCAUUGACGACUGAUGGAGUUCGCUCUUGUUGCCCAGGCUGGAAUGCAAUGGCAUGACCUUGGCUCACUGCAACCUCUGCCUCCCCAGUUCAAGUGGUUCUCCUGCCUCAGCCUCCCGAGUAGCUGAGAUUACAGGUACUGGCUCCUGUAUCACCCAGCUCUGGAGUUGAAAGAGCUCUUCAUUCCUGAGUCUCCUGUACCACUGAGAAUAGGCUGGAGUGCAGUGGCGCAAUCUCGGCUCUCUGCAACCUUCACCUCCCGUGUUCAAGUGAUUCUCCUGCCUCAGCCUCCUGAAUACCUGAGAUUACAAGCAUGCACCACCACGCCCGUCUAAUUUUGUAUUUUCACUAGAGACGGGGUUUCUCCAUGUUGGUCAGGCUGGUCUCGAACUCCCGACCUCAGGUGAUCCGCCCGCCUCAGCCUCCCAAAGUGCUGGGAUUACAGGCAUGAGCCACCGCGUCCAGCAAGAAUAGGUGAUUUUCAAACUUGGAAACAUUCAGAAGUUAUCGCCUCAGUUUCAGAUUGAGUAGUCUCAAAGAGAUUACAGACAUCUACCACAAAUUCUCUACUUGGUGUGGUGCAAAAUCAGUAUGAUGUAAACUUUGUCUCUCAGUUUCUUCAAAGGAAAGAAGCAACUGGAACACACAUAUAACACUAACCCUUCCAGCUGCAUUAUGAGGGACCAGUACCUGUCUCAAGGCAAAAUUAUGACUUAGUUCAUCCUCACCUCUGGAGGCCAGUAAAAGUGGGUUAUAGAAGAACAAAGAGGCAUCUAGAUCUUUCACUGGGUUAUUUGGAGAGAAACAUCUCCUACCGAAGGCCAGUUUAACAAGACUGGUAGAGGAGGUUAUCUUAUCUAAUUCACAGAAAUCAACACAUUGAGUCAAGAAAAAUGAAACACAGAAACACUCUAAAUAAAAGAAGAUAAGUCUUCAGAAACCAACCCUAAUGAAAUGAAGAUAUGUGAUUAACCUGACAGGAAAUUAAAAAGAGCAACCAUAAAGAGUCUCAUGGGAGCAAUGCAUGAACAAACUGAGAAUUUUCAUAAAGAAAUAAAAGAUAACAAAAAGUAUAAAGUUGAAGAAUACAAUAACUGGACUCAAAAAUUUAAUGUGUCCAACAGAAGAAUCGAUGAAGCAGAAGAAAGGGCUAUCAAACUUGUAGAUAGGCCAUUGGAAAUCAUGUAAUGUGAGGAGAAAAAAGAAAAAAGAUUGAAGAUAGUUUAAGAGACUUUUGAGACAUCCUCAAAGGGGAAUAAUUUAUACAUUACCAGAUGGAGAAGAUAGAGGGAAAAGGACAGAAAACAUAUUUGAAGAAAUAAUGUCAGAAAACCUCAUAAUUCUGGCAAGGAAAUAGAAAUUUAGAUCUAAGAAUCUCGAACAUCAGGUAUGAUGAAUCCAAGGAGACUCACACCAAACCAUAUUGUAAUUAAAUAAAGGUUAAAGACAAUCUUCAGAGCAGCAAGGGAAUAGUCUCUUCUUACAUACAAAAUGAUCCACGGAAGACUGUCAGCAGACUUCACCAGAAAACUUUCACGCCAGAAGGCAGUCGUGAUAUAUACAAAAAGCUGAAAGGAAAACACUGCCAUCCAGGAAUACUAUCUCCAACUAUCCUGUGUUUCAAAAAUUAAGGAGAAAUAUAAAGUUCUCAAACAAAAGAUGUGGGAGUUUACCACCACUAGACCUGCACGGGAAGAAUUGCUAAAGGGAGUCCUUCAAGCUGUAGUAAAAGAGUGCUAAUUAGAAACAUGAAAACAAAUACAAAAAAAAUUCUAAAACUUGUAUGGAACUACAAAAGACAUUAAAUAAUCAAAGUAAUCUUGAGCAACAAGGACACAGCUGGAGGCAUCACUCUACCUGAUUUUGUAAUCCAUUAUCAAAAAACUGUGGUACCAGCAUAAAAACAGAUUCACUGACCAGUGGAACAGGAAAGCCCAGACAUAACUCAUACAUUUCCAUCCAAUUGAUUUUUGACAAAAGUGGCACACAGAAUGGGGAGAGGACAAAUAAAUAAAUAAAUUGUUUUGAGAUAUCUGUAUAUCUAUAUGUGAAAUUGAACCAUUUUCUCAUAGCAUAUAGAAAAAUCAACUCAAAAUGGAUUAAAGCCUGAAAUGUUGCCUUUGAAACUGUAAAACUACUAGUAGAAAAUAUAGGGGAAAAGCUCUAUGAUGUUGUUCUGGGCAAUGAUUUCUUGGAUACAUCCUUAAAAGCAUGGGCAGCAAAAACAGCCAGACAACUAUCAGGGAACCUGCCCAGAUAGUCACAUAGGUUCUUUUCUAUUUUCCCUAAGCAUUGGCCGGGUUGAGAAAUAAAGGGACAGAGUACAAAAGAGAGAAAUUUUAAAGCUGGGCAUCCUGGGGAGACAUCACAUGUCGGUAGGUUCCGUGAUGCCCCCUGAGCCGUAAAACCAGUAAGUUUUUAUUAGGGAUUUUCAAAGGGGAGGGAGUAUACGAAUAGGAGGUGGGUCACAGAGAUCACGUGCUUCACAAGGUAAUAGAAUAUCACAAGGCAAAUGGAGGCAGGGCGAGAUCACAGGACCACAGGACUGGGUUGAAAUUAAAAUUGCUAAUGAAGUUUCGGGCACCAUCGUCAUUGAUAACAUCUUAUCAGGAGACAGGGUUUGAGAGCAACCUGUCUGACCAAAAUUUAUUAGGUGGGAAUUUCCUCGUCCUAAUAAGCCUGGGAGCGCUAUGGGAGACUGGGGCUUAUUUCAUCCCUACAGUCUCGACCAUAGAAGACAGCUACACCCAAGGGGGCCAUUUUAGAGGCCCACCCUCAGGGGCACAUUCUCUUUCUCAGGGAUGUUCCUUGCUGAGAAAAAGAAUUCGGCGAUAUUUCUCCCAUUUGCUUUUGAAAGAAGAGAAAUAUGGCUCUGUUCCGCCUGGCUCACCGGCGGUCAGAGUUUAAGGUUAUCUCUCUUAUUCCCUGAACAUUGCUGUUAUCCUGUUCUUUUUUCAAGGUGCCUAGAUUUCAUAUUGUUUAAACACACAUGCUCUACAAUUUCUGCACUUAACACAAUUAUCACAGGGUCCUGAGGCGACAUACGUCCUCCUCGGCUUACGAGAUGACAGGAUUAAGAGAUUAAAACAGGCAUAGGAAAUCACAAGGGUAUUGAUUGGGGAAGUGAUAAGUGUCCAUGAAAUCUUCACAAUUUAUGUUUAGAGAUUGCAGUAAAGACAGGCAUAAGAAAUUAUAAAAGUAUUAAUUUGGGGAACUAAUAAAUGUCCAUGAAAUCUUCACGAUCCACGUUCUUCCGCCAUGGCUUCAGCCAGUCCCUCCGUUUGGGGUCCCUGACUUCCCGCAACAGACAACUUGAGUUGCAUCAAACUAAAAAGCAUCUGCACUGCAAAGGGUACAGUUAACAGAAUGAAGACACGGGUUUUGAGAAACCAUUUUCAAAUCAUAUAUCUGAUAAGGGGCUAAUAUCCAAAAUGUAUUAAGAAACCCAAGCCCAAUAGCAAGAAAACAACUGUCUUUAAAAGGGGGAAAAGGACCUCAACUUAAAUUUUUCAGAGGAAGACAUGAGUGGCCAAUUGAUUGAUACAUGAAAAAAAUGCUCAACAUCUCUAAUCAUUAGUGAGUUGCAAAUCAAAACUGCAAGAUAUUACCUUACACCUUUUAGAAUGGCUAUUAUUAAAAGGAUGAAAGACAGGUGCUGGCAAGGAUGUGGAUAAAAGGAAGUCCCAACAUUCUGUUAGUGGGAAUAUAAAUUAGUAUAGCCAAUUUAGGAAACUAUAUGGUGGUUCCUUAAGAAACUAAAAGUACAAUUACUAUAUGAUCUAGCAAUCUCUACUUAGGUAUAUAUCCAAAGGAAUUGAAGCAGUAUGUUGAGAUCUUGCACUCCCUUAUUUUGAAAUUAUUUACAAAGCUAAUAAAUGGAAAAGACUUAAGUUUUCAUAACAGAUGAAUGGACAUAGAAGAUGUGUUGUAUAUACAUAUUGGAAUAUUUUUUAUCCUUGGAAAAGAAGGAAAAUUGUCAUUUGUGACAACAUGGAUGAAUCUGUAGUAUACUAUGCUAAGUGUUGUAAGACAGGCACAGAGAGGCAAAUACUACAUUAUAUUUGUAUGUGGAAUCUAAGAAAGGCUAACUCAUACAAGUAGAAAGUUGGAUGUUAUGGUUUCCAGGAUGUGGGUGUUGGAGAGAUGGGCAAAGGCAAGACGUUGGUCAAAGAGUACCAAUUUUCUGUUAGGAGGAAUAAGUUUUAGACAUAUUUCACAGCAUGGUGACCAUUGUCACUGACUGUAUAUUUUAAAAUUGUUAUAAGUAGAUAUUAAAGUUGUCACAACAAAAGUAGGUGAAGUUAUGGAUAUGUUAAUGUGCUUGAUUUAGUUAUUACACUAUGUAUACAUACAAAAACAUCAGAUAGUUCCCUGGAAUUAUAUACAAUUAUUACUUGUCAAUUAUAAAAAAAAGCCCUACUGCAACCACUAAAAAGGAUUUUCAUAUAAUAGAGGGAAAAAUCGUUAAAGAUAAUAAUACAUUAUUUUAGAAAAUAUUAACUUAUAAAAAGUAGUAUAGGAGGGAUUCUGUAAAAGAAGAUAGACAUAGAAUUUUAAAAUGUAUAAUGGAAAAUUUAAAUCCAGCUGUACUGAUGGAUCAAGCAAUCCAAACCAGUCUGAUUGACCAAGUGGAUAUUUAAAAAACAAUCAAACUAUAAGGUGUCUGUUGUAGGCAGUUUAUAAAAUACAAAAGUGUUGAAAGAAAUAGGAUGGAAAUAGAAAUAUCCAAGUAGCAACCACAAAAAAACUGGAAUGUCUGCACUAACAUCAUACAAAACAAACCAAAUGAAGGUUAAAAAUAUUGAAAUUAUACAAAAUAUGUUCUAUGACUAAAAUUUAAUGAAAUUAGAAAUAACACAGAGAUAGGAACUAUACAUAUUUGUGCAAAUUUAAAAAGUUAUGCUGAGUGUGGUGGCUCACACCUGUAAUCCCAGCACUUUGGGAGGCCGGGGAGGGUGGAUCACUUGAAGUCAGGAGUUGGAGACCAGCCUGGCCAACAUGGUGAAACCCUGUCUCUACUAAAAAUACAGAAAAUUAGCCAGAUGUGGUGGUGUGCGCCUGUAGUCCCAGCUACUCGGGUGGCUGAGGCACUAGAAUCACUUGAGCCUAGGAGGCAGAGGUGGCAGUGAGCCGAGAUCACACCACUGCACUGCAGCCUGGGCGACAAAGACUGUCAAAAAAAAAAAAAAAAAAAAAAAGUUACGUAACCAACAAGUCAAAGGAGAAUUUAUAAGGAAAUCAGAAAAUACUUUGAGGUGAAUGAAAAUACAGAAACAACAUAUCAAAUUCUGUGAGAUGUGUGAAAGCAACGCUUACAGUGAAAUUAAUAGCUAUGAACAUUGUAAUGAAAUGAGAAGUACUUCAAAUUACUAACCUAACUUUCCAACUUUAGAAAAUACAGUAAAAAAAGAACAAAUUAAAAUCAAAGCAGAAAGGAUAUAAAGUUUAGUGUGGAAAUAGAGAAUUAAAAAUAAUUGAGAAACACAGCACUUCGUUGACUUAUUCAUAAAAUAAAGCUUUAUUAAAAUGAGAAAUGUAAAACGUGAUGUUCCUAAUGACCUUAUUCCAUACAAGGGAUUAGUAUUUUGACAAAUAUCUUUGUGGAAGUAGACAAAUUCCUAGAAAGACACUGACUACCACAACUCAUUCAAGAACAAAGUGAAGACAAUAAAUUGGUAAUUUAAAAACUCUCACCCCUGCCCCUGACACACAUGUAAAUUCCCAGUUCAAAUGUAUUCUUUUGUAUAUUAUACCAAACACAUGAAAAUUACCAAUUCGAUAAAAAUGUCUUAAAAACUUGGAAGAGCAUGUAAUAUUUUUUACUGGUUCUAUGAUGCUAUUGUUAUCUAGAUACCAAAGUGAAACAUCAUACACAGGGAAAACUCUGAUAAUAUCGCUUAUGAGUGGAUCUGUGAAAUUUCCUAGUAAAUUUUGGCAAACCAAAUACAGUAACAUAUAAACAGGAAUGUACACCAGUACCCAGUACAGUGUAUCCCUGGAAUGCAACGUUAUUUCAUCAGCUGGAAAUGAUUAGUGCAACAGACUGAAGGAAGAAAACAACAUGGUCAUCUCAAUAGAUUGUGGACGGCUGGAAGUGGAGGCUCACGCCUGUAAUCCUAAUACUCCUACCAACAGUGUAUAAGCAUUCCUUUUUCUCUGUAACUUCACCAGAAUCUGUUUUUUUGUUUGUUUGUUUGUUUGUUUUUGACUUUGUAAUAGCCAUGGGCUGGGCUCAGUGACUCACGCCUGUAAUCCUAGCACUGGGGGAGGCUGAGGUGGGCGGAUCACUUGAGGUCAGGAGUUCGAGACCAGCCUGGCCAACAUGGUGAAACCCCAUCUCUACUAAAAAUACUAAAAUUACCUGUGCAUGGUGGCAAGUGCCUGUAAUCCCAGCUACUCGGGAGUCUGAGGCAGUAGAAUCACUUGAACCCAGGAGGUGGAGGUUGCAGUGAGCGGAGAUUGUGCCACUGCACUUGGACCUGGCUGACACAGCAAGACUAUGUUUAAAAAAAAAGAGAGAGAAAAAAAAAAUAGAAGGUGGAAAAAGUAUUUGGUAAACUAAGAAGUAAACCACAACCUAGUAAAGGGCAUAUUUUAAGAAUUCACAACUAGAACCUGGUGCCGUGGCUGUAAUCCCAGCACUUGGGGAAGCCAAAGCAGGAUUACUUGAGGCCAGAAGUCUGAGAUCAGCCUAGGCAAUAUAAGGAUACUCUGUAUCUUAAAAAAAAAAAAAAAAUCCAGAUGUGAUGACACAUGCCUGUACGCCUAGCUACUUGGGAAGCUGAGGUUCAUGUUUACAAUGAGCUAUGAUGAUGCCACUGUACUCCUGACUGAACAACAGAGUGAGACCCUGUCUCUAAAAAGCAAAACAAAACAGAAAACCCAAAACCCUCAAAACUAAUGUUACACUUAGUAUUUAAAGAAUGCUUUCUCUGUAAGAAGAGGAGCAAGGACAGGAUAAAACAUUCUUGCCAGUUCUGUUCAACAGUGUACUGGAAGUAUCUGUGACAUUAAUUGCAUUGCAUAUGGAAGGAAAUAAAAUUUUUUAAAUAGGAAGCAGCAAAACCUUUUGCAGAUGACAUGGUUUUGUACAUACACAACCCCAGUGGAUCCAAUAAAUUUGGAUUCCAAUAACAAGAUCAUCUCAGCAAGUUUUUGUGAUUUAAGAUUACAAUCCAAAAAUCAGUUGUAUUUCUAUAUAUUAUUAAAGAAGUCAAAAGUGACAUCAUUGAAACAUUUUUAUUUACAAUAUUAUUAAGGCAAAAUACUGUGGGAUAAAGUGAAAUUCAGCAUGAACUGUGAAUAACACAAAAUAUUUGUCAGAGGAGUUGAGGAAUAUCUACAUAUGUGGAAAGACAUCUCAUAUUUGUGGACUAGAAGAUUUAAGCAUCGCUAGGUGCGGUGGCUCACGCCUGUAAUCCCAGCACUUUGGUAGGCUGAGGUGGGCGGAUCACAAGGUCGGGAGUUCGAGACCAGCCUGGCCAAUAUGGUGAAACCCCGUCUCUACUAAAAAUACAAAAAAAUUAGGCGGGUGUGGUGGCGCAUGCCUGUAAUCCCAAUCCCUCUAGGCUGAGGCAGGAGAAUCUCUUGAUCCCGGGAGGCGGAGGUUGCAGUGAGCCAAGAUCGGGCCACUGCACUCCAGCCUGGGCAACAGAGCUAGGCUCCCUCUCAAAAAAAAAAAAAAAAAAGCAUCAAAAGGAUAGUUCAUUAAUGGAAAUAAUAAAUUGAAAAAGGGAAGGACAUCAAAGUUUAAUGCUUUUACUUUUUCAUAAUAACCAUAAAUAGUAUGAAAAUACAAACUAUAUUCAUGGAAAAUGUUUUGUUUUUAUUUUUUUUGAGACAGAAUUUUGCUCUUGUUUCCCAGGCUGGAGUGCAAUGGCACGAUCUCAGCUCACCACAACCUCUGCCUCCCGGGUUCAAGUGAUUCUCCUGCCUCAACCUCCCAAAUAGAUGGGAUUACAGGCAUGUGCCAGUACGCCCGCCUAAUUUUUUUGUUAUUUCUAGUAGAGAUGAGGUUUCUCCAUGUUGGUCAGGCUGGUCUCGAAUUCCCGACCUCAGGUAAUCUGCUCGCCUCUGCCUCCCAAAGUACUGGGAUUAUAGGUGUGAGCCACCAUGCCCGGCCCUUUGUUUUCAAAUCUCAUAUCCAACAUUGGACUUAUGGCUAGAAUAUUUACAUAAUUCUCAAAAGAUAGUAUUAAAAAUCCAAAGCUUUAAAUUAGAAAAUGGGCAAAAGUCAUGAAAGAACAUUCCCCUGAGGAUAGGGAAAUGUCAAUAAGGACAUGAUGGAAAUUAAUACUAUGAUGAGAUAUUACAGAAGAUUUAUUUUUCUUUGAGGCGGAGUCUGCCUCUGUCACCGAGGCUGGAGUGCAGUGGCAUGAUCUCAGCUCACUGCAACCUCCACCUCCCGGGUUCCAGCGAUUCUCCUGCCUCAGCCUCCCAAGUAGCUGGGAUUACAGGCGCCUGCCACCACGCCCAGCUAAUUUUUUUUUUUUUUUUUUUUUUUGUAUUUUUAGUAGAGACGGGGUUUCUCCAUGUUGGCCAAGCUGGUCUCAAACUCCUGACCUCAGGUGACCCACCUGCCUCAGCCUCCCAAAGUGCUGGAAUUAAGAGGUGUGAGCCACCACACCUGGCCUACAGCAGAUUUAUUUCAGUAGCUGAAAUAGUUAAAACAUAAUGAUUCCAAAGGCUGAGAAGCAUGCAGAAAAAAUUGAAUCUUUAUUGCUGAUGGGAAUAUAAAACUGUAUACCACAUUGGAAAAUAAUUUGGCAAUUUCUUUUAAAGCUAAACACACACAUACAGUUAGUUAGGCUUAGCAAUUGCUGUCAUGGCCUAUUUCAUAGAAAUGAAAAUUUAUGUGUAGACCAAACCUGCACUUGACUGUUCACAGAAAUUUUAUUUGUAAUAGUCAGAACCUGGAAACAACUCACAUGUUAUUCACCAGGUAAACAGUUAAAUAAGUCUGUUAUUUCCGUAUUGUGUAAUACAACUCAAAAAUUAAAAGGAAUAAACUACUACUAUACAAAUAAGCCUUAGAUGAUUCUCAAUUCUGAAGGAAAAACCCAUUUCAAGUUGUAACAUAAUGCUUAUUUUUAUGUAUCUUAAUGUGAUGAAGUUAAAUAGUUUAGAGAACAUUGUUCGUAUUCAUCUGUUAGGGAUGGUAGAAGUUAGGGUUGUAUGUGAUUAUAAGACUAGUGGAAGGGAUACGUUUUUAAUGAUGGAUGAGUUCUGCAUUCUGAUUCAUGCAGUGGUUACAAAAAUGUAUACAUGUGAUAAAAUGUCAUGUAAAUGUGCACAUUUCACCAAUGACAAUGUGCUGGUUGUGAUAUUGUACAAUGUUAAUGGAAAAUAUCACCACUGGGGAAAAUUGAGUGGUAUGUGUAAACGGUACUAUAUUUGCAGCAUUUUGUGAGUCUUUAUUUUAACAUAAUAUGUAAAUAUGUAAAGCAACUAGAAGAAUGGUUUUAAUACAGGAGAGUAACAGCUUAUAAGCAAGAGAAAGAAAAAUGAUAAAUAAUGUGAACACUUACCAAAGGAAGGGUGGAACAGAGAAAUAAAGGACAGGGAAAAUUAUCUGGGAUGAUUCCUAAAUUCCAAUAUUUGGAUGGAACUAUACAGAAUUUUAAUAUAUCUGGAAAAUAAACUGAAAAUAUUAACGGAUCCACAGAUAUUGAAGACUUAACCUUUUUUAUCUCAUUAUUCAUUAAAACAAGUGAAAUGUUAUAGGGAAUUCUUCAAAUUGAAAGAAGCAGCUCAUGCAUAACACAAAAACAUGAAUGUAUAAAACUGACUGGUAAAAGGUAAGUAACUCAAAUUCACAGUACUGGUAUACUGUAAUGGUGGUGUACAAAUAACGUAUAUCUUUAUUGUUAAGGUUAAUACACAAAACUUUUUUAAUGAGAUGGCUGUUGCUAUGUUGCUCAGGCUGGUCUGAAACUUCUGGGCUCAAGCAAUUUUCCCCCCUCAGCCUUCUGAUUAGACGGUAUUAUGGGCACCUGCCAUGAUGUCCAUCUACAAAACUAUUAAUAAUUACAACAAUUUGUUUAGCCAUAUGUGAUAUAAAUAUAUGUAAGGUGUGACAUCAAGAACAUAAUGGGUCACCAAAAUCUCAGAGUAAAAACACUCUGGUUUUACUCACCCCCAUAGAACCUCAGUAAUAUAUCCAGCACCAAUAUUAUCACAAGUUAUAUCCCAGAACUGAAAUCCGAGGCUGAGACAUUUCCUCAGACUACAGAGAAGUGAAAAACUUGGAGCAGAUGAUAAAAGGCUUCUUCUGUAUUUAUGAGACUCCUAUGUGCCUGCCAUCAUGUGUGGAAAAUUUUAUCGACAUUCACCAGUUCAACAUGGGAUAAAUGUGAGAUUUUGGCACACAGCUUCUUCACCAUCUUGGCUUCUCUUGUUGAAAAGCUGUUAAUAGCUUAAAACAUGGGAAGUAUUGUGUGUGCUUGUAGAAAGAAAAUCCCAUGAUGGCAGUGAAAGACAAUUGGGCCAGUUGAGAUUCACAACUCCAGCCUGAAAAUUUUCUUUACGUCAGACAACAUAGAUGCCAAGUCAGAGUGGCUGUUCAGCAGCACUAUAAUGUAGUAGGCAGAGUUCAUAGUUCUUUGCACAAAUGCCUAUCCAACCUUCCUGCACAGCCAGAGGAUUGACUUUGGGACCCCUAUAUGGGAUGGGCAAUGCUCCAAAUGUUUGUGAGAGCUGAGUCAAAUCUAAAACAGGCAGCACUCACGGAUUAAGUAGUCUUGACAGGGAACUACAAAUAAUAAUAUCUAAGAAAAUAUACUCUAGGAAGACCAAAAAAAGCUAGACAGCUGAGACUGGAAUAAAUAUAUAAUUAAUUGUUCAAUGUGAAACUGUAGGCAUACGUCUACAAGAAACAGCAGCAAGCCAAUAACCAUGACUACCCUGAACAGAGAAAGCAUGGAGCCAGUUGCCAUCCCUAAUGAGAUGGUAAUGUUUGAACUCUAGAAUCAAGAAUUCAUAAAUGCAAUUUUAAGGAAAUGUAGCAAAACCCAAGAUAAUGCAGAAAAGGAAUCCAAGAAUGUAUUAGAAACUUGAAGAGAUUGAAAUAAUACACCAAACAAAUAUUGCAAAUGAGAAAUAAUUGUUUCAACUGAAAUAAUUAUUAGAGGAUGUCAUUAGCAGAAUGGAUCAAGCAUAAAAAAACAGUGAUCUUAAAGAUAGGGUAUUGGAGAAUCUGUAGAGAUUAAAGAAAUAGAAAAGGCCUAGAGAAUAGCUACAGGAUAUAGAGAAUAACGUCCAAACAGCAAAUUAAAUAAUCAUUGGUGUUCAAGUGGUAGUUUUGGAAUAGCAAGGGCAGUAAAGCUUAUUCAAUGAAAUAACAAUACAUUCCAAAUGUAGAGGAAAGUACUUUUCAGGUACAACAACGUUAAAGACCAAAUAGAUUCAGUUUAAUUAAGAAUACCCCAAGGUGUGUGUGUGUGUAUAUAUAUAUAUAUAUAUAUAUAUAUAAUCAUCUCAAAAACAUACUACAAAGAGAAAGGACACUGAAAACAGCAAGAGAAAAGCAAAUAACAUUAUAUACUUCCAAUUUGUUUGUUAACAGACUUCUGAUCAGAAAUUGUACAUACCAGGAGGGAGUGAAGUGACAUAAAGUGCUAAAGGAAAAAAGUUAACCAACAAUACUGUACCCACAAAAGAUUUCCUUGAAAGAUUGAGAGAUAACAUCGUUUACAAAAAGAAAAGGAAACAUGGUGAGAAUUCAUCACUAGACUCGUCAUUCAAGAAAUGCUAAGUUCUUUAUCCUGAAGAAAAUUAUGCUAACGUCCAAAGAGAAAAAGUUUGACAUUACAAAACUCAGUGGCCAAUGCAAAUACAUAGGCAAAUGCAGAAUAAAUUAAUACGCUUGUUUUGUGUAAGCCUCUUAUAUCCAUAAUACGAGGAGUAAGAUGCAAGUCUAUGAAAAGUAACUAUAGCAGCAUCAUAAAAUAUAGCCAAUUUAAAAAUAGACAUGAGAAAGUCAAAAUGUGGGGGAAUUGAAUUAAAGCAUAAAAUUGAUUGGCUGUUUAUAUUCCUUAUGAUGAAAAUUAUUAUCGGUUUAAAAAUACUUUUAUCUAUGAGAUACUACCAAAGAAAGUCACUUAACCACAAUGGGAGAAGGAAGAAAGAAAUAAUUUGGAAAACGACAAAAAAGUACCAAUCAAAAUGUCAAUAGUGAUUUCUUACCUAUCAAUAAUAAUAUUGAUAGGUAUUAUCUAGGAUCCCCCUAAAAAGAACAGAGAGUGGCUCAGUGGAUAUUUUAAAAAAUCGGCUGGGUGUGGUGGCUUACGCCUGUAAUCCCAGCACUUUGGGAGGCCUAGGUGGGCGGAUCACCUGAGGUCAGGAGACUAGCCUGACCAAUAUGAUGAAACCGCGUCUCUACUAAAAAUAAUACAAAAAAAUUAGCCGGGCUUGGUGGCAUGCGCAUGUAAUCUCAGCUACUCGGGAGGCUGAGACAGGAGAACAGCUUGAACCCGGGAGGCGGAGGUUGCAGUGAGCCAAGAUCACGCCAUUGCACUUCAGCCUGGGCAACGAGCGAAAUUCUGUCUCAAAAUAAUAACAAUAGUCAGUCCCAACUAUAUGCUGCAUGUAAAAAAUUAACUUACAUAUACACAUUGACUAAAAGUGAAGGGAUGCAAAAAGUUUUCAAAUGGAAACCAAUAAAUAGCAGCUGUAUUUGUAUCAGAUAACAGAAAAUUUUCACUUAAUAUUUAUUAGGUGAAAAGGUGUGAAUAGAGACAAAAAAGUAUUAUGUAGUAAAUACUUAUGAAGGGUCAAUUCAGGAAGAGGGUAUAAAAAUCGUAAAUAUGUAUGCAUCCUGCAGCAGAACACCAAAAUAUAUAAAGCAAACUGUAAGCGACCUAAAGCGAGAGAAACUGCAAUACAGUAAUAGUAGGGGACUUUAGUAACCCUUCCUCAACUCUUGUCACCUGAGUACACAGAGGCUUAUUCCAACUGGGGGAACGAAAUAGAAGACAGUGGGAUAAUUUGCCUAGUAACCCAGGCAGUUCUACCCUGGUAUUCCCCAAGUCCACCAGUGCUGUGUAUGUGCCAGGCUUUAAGCCUGGCUGUGUUCCUGGUCCUAGGGCGCCCUCUAGUGAUGAAAUGGUUGCAGUGACCACAUUCUUAGAUAAAACAACACAAUCACAUUUAAUUUUUGG
This 13739-nucleotide long non-coding RNA is filed under the name Homo sapiens (human). RNAcentral's name for it is "HSALNT0408076". The stretch from base 8 to 142 matches the Rfam family "JPX transcript, XIST activator conserved region 1". Lineage: Eukaryota; Metazoa; Chordata; Mammalia; Primates; Hominidae. The record is from RNAcentral.